CCUGCUGCCCCUCCUCUGCCUGGGCUUGGACGGCUCCCCCCUUCCCACGGGUGAAGGUGCAGGUGGGGAGAGGGCACCCCCCUCACCCUCCCAGACCCAGACCAGCCCCCGUGGCAGGGGCAGCCUGUGAGCCUCCAGCCAGAUGCAGGUGGCCUGGGGUGGGGGGUGGAGGGGGCAGGAGGUUUAUGUUUGAGGCUGUAUCACUGUGUAAUAUUUUCGGCGGUGGGACCCAUCUGACCGUCCUCGGUCAGCCCAAGGCCGCUCCCACGGUCAACCUCUUCCCGCCCUCCUCUGAGGAGCUCGGCACCAACAAGGCCACCCUGGUGUGUCUAAUAAGUGACUUCUACCCGGGCGCCGUGACGGUGACCUGGAAGGCAGGCGGCACCACCGUCACCCAGGGCGUGGAGACCACCAAGCCCUCGAAACAGAGCAACAACAAGUACGCGGCCAGCAGCUACCUGGCCCUGUCCGCCAGUGACUGGAAAUCUUCCAGCGGCUUCACCUGCCAGGUCACCCACGAGGGGACCAUUGUGGAGAAGACAGUGACGCCCUCCGAGUGCGCCUAGGUCCCUGGGCCCCCACCCUCAGGGGCCUGGAGCCACAGGACCCCCGCGAGGGUCUCCCCCCGCGACCCUGGUCCAGCCCAGCCCUUCCUCCUGCACCUGUCAACUCCCAAUAAACCGUCCUCCUUGUCAUUCAGAAA
This is a non-coding RNA of Sus scrofa (pig), 703 nucleotides long. The record is from the annotation of a RefSeq genome assembly. Lineage: Eukaryota; Metazoa; Chordata; Mammalia; Artiodactyla; Suidae.